GCAAGCACGGAAAUAUCGUAUCAACUGGGAGAUAUAUACCCCGUAUGCAGGUGACUUAAAGUUGUUAAUUUUUAUCGAAUGUUACAAGAUAAUUUAUUGUUUUCUCUAUCCGUCUUAAUUUGAAAAAAGUUUUUAACGAACAAAAUAAAUAUGUUUUAAAGACUAAAUGAGGUUGAUAAUUACACGCACGUGAUAACCUCUUCAAAGCAAUAUCAGGUGAAGAGACAAAUGAAUUGUUACACCUUUUAUAAUAGGUCUAAAGUUGUAAACACACCUUAAGCAUUCAACCUAGUCCGAAGUUACUCUGACGUCUGACAGAAUCAUUUUUUACAAUUGGCAUUUAUUAAUUCUGGAUUGGUAUUUAAAGAACGAUGAUGAAUUGCAUGAAAUAUUUGACAUUGGACUUUACGUAAACAAUUAGUUAAAAUAUUUGAUAUUAUUUUUCAAUCAAAGCCCUAGCUUUAACAUCCCCUGGCCCCCGUCGCUACGGGGAACCAUCUAUGAAUUAAUUUUGUGUUAAACACUUAAAAUUAAAAUAUUUGUCAAAGUUAGUAGUUUAAUGAGAUAAUAAGUGCUGAUAAAAACUUUUCCGUUUACUUCUAUAAGAAUUGUAUGAUUUUUAAGCUCAGCAUGUUAUGCGUGUUGAGCAACGGCCC
Molecule: long non-coding RNA, 656 nt
Filed under: Mytilus galloprovincialis (Mediterranean mussel)
Lineage: Eukaryota; Metazoa; Mollusca; Bivalvia; Mytilida; Mytilidae
Source: RNAcentral